GUGGUGGCUCAGAGGUAGAGUGCUUGGCUGGCACGUAUGAGGCCCUGAGUUCAAUUCUCAGCACCACA
RNAcentral lists this transfer RNA (68 nucleotides) under Ictidomys tridecemlineatus (thirteen-lined ground squirrel). Its description in RNAcentral is "Spermophilus tridecemlineatus (thirteen-lined ground squirrel) tRNA". It matches the Rfam family "tRNA". Rfam says of the family: Transfer RNA (tRNA) molecules are approximately 80 nucleotides in length. Their secondary structure includes four short double-helical elements and three loops (D, anti-codon, and T loops). Further hydrogen bonds mediate the characteristic L-shaped molecular structure. tRNAs have two regions of fundamental functional importance: the anti-codon, which is responsible for specific mRNA codon recognition, and the 3' end, to which the tRNAs corresponding amino acid is attached (by aminoacyl-tRNA synthetases). tRNAs cope with the degeneracy of the genetic code in two manners: having more than one tRNA (with a specific anti-codon) for a particular amino acid; and 'wobble' base-pairing, i.e. permitting non-standard base-pairing at the 3rd anti-codon position. The record is from Rfam by way of RNAcentral. Lineage: Eukaryota; Metazoa; Chordata; Mammalia; Rodentia; Sciuridae.